UCUUGCCUGCCCGGUGAAUAUAUUUAACGGCUGCGGUACUCUGACCGUACAAAGGUAGCAUAAUCAUUUGCCUGUUAAUUGCAGGCUAGAAUCAAUGGCUUGACGAAGAGAAUACUGUCUUUCUUUAUAGAAAUUGAAUUUAGUAUUUUGGUGAAGAAACCAGAAUAAAAUAAUGGGACGAGAAGACCCUGUUGAGCUUUAGUUCUUUCUAUAAAAUUUUAUAAGUAAGGAAUUUUGGUUGGGGCAACUGAUCUUACAAUAAGACAAGGUUAGAAAUUUUAAGAUUUAAAUCCAAAUUUGACCCAUAAUUUUAUGGUAAUAAGAAAAAGUUACCACAGGGAUAACAGCGUAAUUUCCUUUGAGAGUACUUAUUGACAAGGAAGUUUGCGACCUCGAUGUUGGAUCAAGAUAUCCUGGAGGUGCAGCAGCUUCCAAAGGUAGGUUUGUUCAACCUAUAAAAUCUU
This 464-nucleotide ribosomal RNA is filed under the name Ophiosparte gigas. RNAcentral's name for it is "partial 16S ribosomal RNA". It matches the Rfam family "Bacterial large subunit ribosomal RNA", at positions 1853 to 2597 of the family's 2925-position model. Lineage: Eukaryota; Metazoa; Echinodermata; Ophiuroidea; Amphilepidida; Ophiacanthidae. The record is from RNAcentral.